Molecule: ribosomal RNA, 324 nt
Filed under: uncultured eukaryote
Lineage: Eukaryota
Description: partial 18S ribosomal RNA
Rfam family: Eukaryotic small subunit ribosomal RNA
Source: RNAcentral
CCCUUAGAUGUUCUGGGCUGCACGCGCGCUACACUGAAGCUAUCAACACGUUUUCCCUCCCUGAGAAGGGCGGGUAACCUUUUGAAUCAGCUUCGUGGUAGGGAUCGGGGCUUGCAAUUGUUCCCCGUGAACCAGGAAUUCCUAGUAGCCGCGAGUCAUAAGCUCGCAUCGAUUAAGUCCCUGCCCUUUGUACACACCGCCCGUCGCUACUACCGAUUGAACGUUUUAGUGAGGCAUUUGGACCGACGCAUCUCAGUUUAACCGCUGGUUUGUGUUGGAAAGACUUCCAAACUUGAGCGUUUAGAGGAAGUAAAAGUCGUAACA